GAUUUUAUGGUUCCAUGAUUUUCCGAUUUCCUGAUUCCACGAUUCCCUGAUUCUAUUAUUCCACGAUUUCAUCAUUCCCUGAUCCUGGUUUUUACCCCGCCGAGGCCGGAGCAGCCGAGUUUGAGAGCGGACAGGGAAUUUCACCACCUCCAACCUUCCACCCGAAUUUUUGUGCAACAUUCCCGAGGGAAUUCUCCUCCUCAGGAUUCAGGACCUUUGUGCACACAGGGGAGGAUCCUCGGGAACUUUUGCCCCGCCAGAUUUCAGCCGUGACUCAGGAGUUGCCGAACCGGCCCGGCCUGGCCCGGGGCUCCCGCAGGGUUCGGCUCCACCCAUCUCGCUGUUGUGUCCAGCUCCGGGCUGGACACGGCGGUGAACUCAUCAAACAAAGGCUUAAUUAGCA
Molecule: long non-coding RNA, 403 nt
Organism: Serinus canaria (Common canary)
Lineage: Eukaryota; Metazoa; Chordata; Aves; Passeriformes; Fringillidae
Exons: 2
Source: RefSeq, a predicted model, not a curated record